Long non-coding RNA from Gadus chalcogrammus (walleye pollock), 3006 nucleotides. RefSeq lists it as uncharacterized. Lineage: Eukaryota; Metazoa; Chordata; Actinopteri; Gadiformes; Gadidae. The record is from RefSeq and is a predicted model, not a curated record. The transcript has 3 exons.
UCUGCACCAUGGCACUGCUGGGACUGCUGGCACUGCUGGAGGACCAUGCAAAUGGCAUGAUUCGGAGGGAGAGGGUCUUCAGGGACCAUAACGACUUAUUGGCCCAUGAUGAUGACUGGCUAAUGAGCCGUUUUAGAUUCCCUAGAGCUAUGCUCUUGGAUCUAUGUGCUGAACUGGGUCCAGCAUUGGAAAGGGCAACACGUAGGAACCACGCAAUCCCGGUGCAGACGCAGGUCCUCACCACUUGGGGUUCCUGGCAACCGGCUGUUUCCAACGGGAAUUGUCAGACAGGUGUGACGACCCAGUUGGGUCUUUGACCCCGCCCCUGCUGUGUGUGCCUGUGUUUCUCUCCCUCCUGAUUAGGAGAUUGUCGGCAGGUGUGGGAUGGACCGGUGGCAGUAUAAAGAGCCUGCCCAGACAGCAGACGUGGCUUCUCCCUCCUCCCAGCAUUGGCUUUCCUUUGGAUUCACAUGGACUGAUAUUUACAUUACCUUUAGGUUACUUACAUUUAUACUGACUUGCACCACACUUCUUAUUGUUAUGUUUAUUAUAUAAUAAAUUACUUAUUAUUGUGAAAAUAGCGUGGUCUCCCCGGUUCAUGUUGCAUGCAUGGAGCCAGCAUGUCACAUAUGGGGGCUCGUCCGAGAUCUGUUUCUGGAAGUGUGUAAGGUAAAGGAAAUUUUCCUCCACUUGUUUGGAUUGGCAAUUUUUGUCAAAUUGGCAUUUUGUUUGCACUGACGGGUAGGAAUUGCCUGGGCAGUGGCAUUAAAUGGAAUUGGGGGAGACCCGCGCUAAAUUAGUUGAGUUGGUUAAAUGAUAAAUUGAGAUUUUGGAUUAAUUGGUUAUUUGGUUGAUAUGGAUUGCUUUGUUUGAUUUGCUGGGGAGGAGUAGAGCCAAUUAGGAGGCUAGGUGUAGCUUCAAUUGGGUGCAGGUGUGGCGGUUACCAUGGAAGGCUGUUAGAUUAGAUCUGCUGGAGCAACUGAUAGUCCUCGCGUUAGGAGUAGAGCGCUUACCGCUGUUUAUUGUUUUGCCUUUGUUGUUUUGUUUUAUUUUUGGUGUGUCGGACGCGCUGGGGUUGCUUGUAACCAAAUUGCUAUGGGCACACCGAAGACUAGCUUAGAAGUAGGUAGGGCUGUGUUCUACAGUUAGAUGCGGGGCUGCUCCGGUCUGGUGGGAAAUUUGUUACACCUGUGUUCAAUUGGUUGGCUGUUCGGUGCGCUGUAGCUUUGUUCUUUCAUCCGGUUUAGCGCAACAUAAGCAUUUGUUUGGUAAGCAUUUGACAAGCAUUGCUUAAAAGGGACAUGGAAGCUUUUGUUGAGGCCCCAUCGGAGGCUAAAGUUUAUAAGUGUACCAAGCGACAAUUGUGGGAGGUGGCUGAGCAUUAUGGAUUGGAGGGUCUGCGGAAAGAUUUAGGAAAAGGAACUACAGGAAUUGAUAAGAUCGGGUUUGGUAGAGAAGUCUAUUAUAAGAACUCAGACUGAGCCCUCUACACCAAACGACUCGGAUGAAGAUUUGCGUUCUGGGGACAAGGAUUUGAGUUUCGAACAAAAAAUGGCGCUCAGGCGUUUCGAGGCGGAGCAGAGGCAUCUAGACCGUGAAGCUGAUUUAGAGCGGAGGCGUCUUGCUUUGGAAAUCGAGAAGCUGAAACGAGACUCGGACAUCGAGAGACUGAGAACCGAGUCUGAACUUCAGAGAGAGAAGUUUAGAUUAAUUGCAGAGGGGAAAAUGUUGGAGCUGGAGCUGCACACUCUCCUGGCAGACCAGAUGGAGUCACUGUUGGCAGACCGGAGGAAGAGUGUGGAGAGCGGGCCGCUCACCUGCAGCAGCCCUACAAUAUUCAGAUUCGCCCCAUACGGGGCGUGGACAACGUUAUGGCGGAUGCUUUGUCCCGCGCUCCGGAGUUGAUGGAGUAGGUGGUGGGUUUCAUACAUAUAGGCAUGGGGUUAUUUCUCUCCUUCCCUGUCCCUCUUAAAGUGCUUUUCCGGGCCCGGUUUUGCUGUGGGACAGGAGUCUUGGGGGGAGAUAACUGGUGGUAGUUGGGUUUUGAUGUUUUGGAUUGAUUGGUUAUUGUUUUUAUUUUGAUCGAUUAUUUUAUGUGGUUGUUUCUUUGGAACAGAAUCCCAUUUAGGUGGGCUUCUGUUUUAAGGGGGGGGGAUGUGAUGACCCAGUUGGGUCUUUGACCCCGCCCCUGCUGUGUGUGCCUGUGUUUCUCUCCCUCCUGAUUAGGAGAUUGUCGGCAGGUGUGGGAUGGACCGGUGGCAGUAUAAAGAGCCUGCCCAGACAGCAGACGUGGCUUCUCCCUCCUCCCAGCAUUGGCUUUCCUUUGGCUUCCUUUGUAUUCACAUGGACUGAUAUUUACAUUACCUUUAGGUUACUUACAUUUAUACUGACUUGCACCACACUUCUUAUUGUUAUGUUUAUUAUAUAAUAAAUUACUUAUUAUUGUGAAAAUAGCGUGGUCUCCCCGGUUCAUGUUGCAUGCAUGGAGCCAGCAUGUCACACAGAUCCGGUAUAUCACAGCCAUCCCUCAGUGCCCUAAUUCCCAGCGUUUUGAAUGGCAUCAUACAUAUGGGCAGUCGAUACAUAAGGUUUCCCUACACAGUGGAAGAACAGGCCGAGAUUAAAAGGCAAUUUGCAGCAAUGUCCGAUUUCCCAAACGUAAUCGGCGUAAUUGACUGCACUCAUAUUGCUAUAAGGGCUCCAUCUGAACAUGAGUUCGCUUACGUCAACCGCAAGCACGUGCACACUAUUCAUGUUCAAGUUGUAUGUGAUGCCCAUAUGAACUUCACAAACAUAGUGGCACGUUGGCCUGGUGCAACACAUGAUUCAUUUAUUCUGACGCACAGUAGUGUAGGGAACAGACUACAGGCAGGCGCGGGGCGGGAUGGCUGGCUUCUAGGGGACAGUGGAUACCCCCUGAGACGCUGGCUCCUCACCCCAGUUUUGAACGUGCAAAGCGCCGAGGAACAACGUUAUAAUGAGGUCCAUGGCCGUGCUCGUUCAGUG